UUAUAUUUUAAAAAAUUGUGGAAACUGAAAGUUAAGUAUUGACUCAACAUAUUGCUUUCAAAAAAUUAUCCCCAAACAAAAAUAUGCAUUGUGGUAAUUAAAACAUAAAGAAUUGGCUUAAAACAAAAAUGUAUAUUCACAGAACAUAUUAAACUCUGCUCAGCCAAUUUAUCGUGUCAAAUGAAAAAUCUGAGUUGACUGAACAUAGUUCAGCCAGAAAAGCGUGGGAAUGCACCUGAAUUUAAUUGGCUUCAGUGUGGAUGCGUGGGAGUUGAUGAUCGACAUUUUCUACAAUAAAGAUAUGUGUAACGCACCGAGCAACGCUUCAUUUAGUGAGGAAAUGGCAAGGUCACUACAACUUUCACAAGUACCAAGGCUUUGGAGAUUUACGCAUGUGACAUGAAAAUGGGAAUUCGUGAAACACUGAGCAGUUUCUGAUCCAUGUCAAGAUUCAUUUCCAGUGAGCCGGUUGUGCUGGAAAAUUUGUGAGACUUUAUGCCUUCAAU
Non-coding RNA from Misgurnus anguillicaudatus (oriental weatherfish), 506 nucleotides. The record is from RefSeq and is a predicted model, not a curated record. Lineage: Eukaryota; Metazoa; Chordata; Actinopteri; Cypriniformes; Cobitidae.